GAAAAUAAAGAUAAAGUCCUAAGAAGCCUUGAAAUCCCGAAAGAUUUCACAACUCCCUUCAAAAGGCUCUAAUCUCCCCUCCAAUGAAAAUCAAUGGCAAGAAGAAGGCUGAAGAAGGCUCCCACAAUCAAAAAGACUGUUAAAACUACUUCUAAAGAAAACUCAAGAGAAAAUUCUUGAAGAAAAGAGAAUUUUCACUCAAAACAAAUCUGAAUUUUUUCAAUAUAAUUGUGAUGUCUUCAAUAAGGUGGCC
This 253-nucleotide long non-coding RNA is filed under the name Gossypium barbadense (sea-island cotton). Its description in RNAcentral is "long non-coding RNA (GBAR_LNC020051)". Lineage: Eukaryota; Viridiplantae; Streptophyta; Magnoliopsida; Malvales; Malvaceae. The record is from RNAcentral.